UCAAAAACAUGGCUUCUCGUGUUUUAAGUAGGAGGAGUCUGGCCUGCCCGGUGGGGGUGGUUCUAAACGGUCGCAGCUACCACUGUGCUAAGGUAGCAUAAUAGGUCGUCCUUUAAUUGGGGAAUAGUAUGAAUGGUCGGAUGAUGGAAAAGCUUUAUUGAGGGCAGUUUUUGAAUUUUACCUUCGAGGUGCAAAGGCUUGAAUUUGUUUAUAAGACGAGAAGACCCUGUUGAGCUUGGUAGUUUUAAACCGAGUUGGUUUAUUAGGUAUGUUUUUUCGGGGUCGAAAGGAAGGGAUGAGAAUACCUUCUUUGUAAUGUAGAGAUCCAGCGUGGCUGAUAAGAAGAAGAUAGUUACCACAGGGAUAACAGCGCAAUCUUUCUGUGAAGAUCAUAUUUGAGGAGAGGUUUGCGACCUCGAUGUUGAAUCAAAAUUCCUAUCAGGUGUAGCAGCUUGGUAAGUGGGACUGUUCGUCCUUUAAAAUUUUACGUGAUCUGAGUUCAGACCGGA
This 509-nucleotide ribosomal RNA is filed under the name Gari pusilla. RNAcentral describes it as "partial 16S ribosomal RNA". It matches the Rfam family "Bacterial large subunit ribosomal RNA", at positions 1807 to 2620 of the family's 2925-position model. The record is from RNAcentral. Lineage: Eukaryota; Metazoa; Mollusca; Bivalvia; Cardiida; Psammobiidae.